UUUACAGACAAGUUUACAAGUCAUCCUAUGUGCAAUCGGCUGUGUGUUUAUUACAUCGCCUGCCUUCACGUCUGCUGACUAAAACGGGAAAUUAACGGGACAUCCUUUCUCAAGGCUUAAAAACAUCCAGAAGAUUAAAAAUAGCCUGAGACUUAAAAACUUCUUCACCUGAUCUCAUGUUUCUUCUCUUCUUCUAUAUCCUCCCAGCAUCAGACUGGGUCCUAGUUACUGCACCCCAGCUUCAGUCACAGGUGGGGACUAACCCCAUUUUCUUCCCAGGAGAAGCAAAUGGCAUUUGUCAUUGGUGACAAGACAGAUUUCCUGGCUAAAGUGAAGCAAACCUUAUCAAACUUUCAUGUAAGAGAAUGGGGUUGUAAGUCUUGCUGAACUCUCUGAUGAUUCAGAAGAUGGAAAAAAGUCGGCUCUGUUCACUCAAACGCUUAGAGUUACAAAAGAAGAAAAUAGAAUGAAAAGCCAUGAGACUCUUGAAAGCCACCGAAACUAGAAUGCUUAUUUAAUUUUAUAUAAGAUAUCCUGUUAAAAAAAAAAAUAGCAUUUUUUAGCCAAACCCUGUUCUUGACACAAUCUCAUUUUUUAUAGAAAAAACUUCCAGAUGACAGUUUUCAAAUGCAACAGUUGUAGGAAUGACAGAACAGUUGGAGCAGUGAAGCUUUAAGCUAUUGUUCUUUUCCUUGGGGUAGCCUUGAAAGAAUACAUUCAUGCACUUAGCAAGGCUGAACAAUUUUUAAGCAGAUGACUAAAAUUUAAUUUUUUUUUUAUUGCCAUCAAUCAUCAAGAUAAAUAUCUUGAUUCUGAACAGUCUUGUAGUCAUUUGCAAAUAUGGAGGGUAAGUAUAAAAUGCUACUAGACAGUGUAAAUGGUUGCAGAAUUCUGUGUUGAGAACAAUUUGCAUAUAUGUUUGCUGAGUUUGCCUAAAUACAAAUUUGUGUGAUACAGUAGUGCGAUGGAAGAGUGGACAGUCAAACUCCAUAGCAGUGUUUUGAUCACAGUUGAUGAUAUUCAACUGGGAGCUGAGAGGAGUCUGUUCUGUUUCAGUCAUGUUUUGUUACACACACACACACACACAUAUCAGUAUCUGCAAUCUGCAUUUUUUGAGACAAUAUCACAUCAUCUAAAAAGAGAAGUGAAAGUGGCCUUUGCUAGUAAACAGUCAAUGGGCAUGGCAAUCAGAUUGUAUCAAAUAAUUAAUCUGAAAUAAUGACAUCUACACAGGAAGAAACCAUCAGUUUGGCAACUGAUAAGAUGGGAUCCAUUUGCUAGUGUUGGAGAAAGGUUUUCAUUAUGAAAGAAAAACUAACCUUGAGAUGAAAGCCAUCUAAACUGUACACUUAUGAGGACAGGCUCUGGUUUAGCAAGUAGCUGCUAAAUUCAGUACAAUUUACAGUCCCACAGUCAUGAUUACGUUUUCCAUAGAAAGCAUGGGAAUUCAAAAGUUUCUAUUUGAGGAGUCAUUUCAUAUUACACCUUCAGGAGCCCAGAGGAUCUAAAUCACACAUGCUGUGUAUUUCUUUGAUAAGCCAAGCUGCCCUGGCUUCAAAAAGCGGCAGACCAAUGAUGCUGCUUCUGCCAGUGCACUGGGUUUGUAUUGAAAUCAGUGAGCUUUCCUGUGACUGAACCCAGACUGAAAUUCUCACGUUUCAAAUUCCUGCUCUUCUGUGUGCCACGUCACCUCUUCUCUCUGCCUGUCAGCGCAGUCUGUCUGUGUGUGUGGGUAACUGCCAUCAUGUGAUCUGCUCUUCCCUUAUCCUACGUGUCUAUUGCCUUAGGGACCACUGAAAAUGAUACCUGAUGUUUUGCAAAUCUCUGGGUGCAUGUGCAUAUGUAUGAGUACAUAUAUAUGUGCAUGUUCAUAGAAUAUAAUGUGUAUUUAUGCCAAUGUCCAGGUAGACAAAAUAAAUUGUGAUUAAGCUCUA
This is a long non-coding RNA of Pseudopipra pipra, 1934 nucleotides long. RefSeq lists it as uncharacterized. Lineage: Eukaryota; Metazoa; Chordata; Aves; Passeriformes; Pipridae. The transcript is spliced from 3 exons. The record is from RefSeq and is a predicted model, not a curated record.